UACCCAUCCAGAGCGGCUAAGAGAUCUGGCUCGACGACGCCGCAGCAACCCCACACCGUUGUGCAGGUGCUACCGCCAGAACCGAUGGAAA
This 91-nucleotide non-coding RNA is filed under the name Enteractinococcus sp. Its description in RNAcentral is "SAM-I sequence". It matches the Rfam family "SAM riboswitch aptamer (S box leader)". Rfam says of the family: The SAM riboswitch is found upstream of a number of genes which code for proteins involved in methionine or cysteine biosynthesis in Gram-positive bacteria. The SAM riboswitch acts at the level of transcription termination control. Lineage: Bacteria; Bacillati; Actinomycetota; Actinomycetes; Micrococcales; Micrococcaceae. The record is from RNAcentral.